RNAcentral lists this ribosomal RNA (253 nucleotides) under uncultured bacterium. RNAcentral's name for it is "partial 16S ribosomal RNA". It matches the Rfam family "Bacterial small subunit ribosomal RNA", at positions 524 to 776 of the family's 1533-position model. The record is from RNAcentral.
UACGAAGGGGGCUAGCGUUGCUCGGAAUCACUGGGCGUAAAGGGUGCGUAGGCGGGUCUUUAAGUCAGGGGUGAAAUCCUGGAGCUCAACUCCAGAACUGCCUUUGAUACUGGAGAGCUUGAGUCCGGGAGAGGUGAGUGGAACUCCGAGUGUAGAGGUGAAAUUCGUAGAUAUUCGCAAGAACACCAGUGGCGAAGGCGGCUUACUGGUCCGGUUCUGACGCUGAGGCGCGAAAGCGUGGGGAGCAAACAGG